Molecule: long non-coding RNA, 1506 nt
Organism: Mus spicilegus (steppe mouse)
Lineage: Eukaryota; Metazoa; Chordata; Mammalia; Rodentia; Muridae
Source: Ensembl
ACAACACACAGCACAGUUUUCAUGUUUGUUAUGUGUUUUCUCUUCCUUAUAGAUCUGUUAGAGCCACGUCAAGGACUGCUGUGUCCAGGAGUGGAGAAAGGCUUAUGUGAGACAAGAGACUCUACUGUCAGAAGAAAGCAAGUGAUUUCAUCCUAGGUAACAGCUGACUCCUAUCUUCAGUUUUGUGUUCCUCGAAGAAUUCACUAGGAAAAUUCACGUGGAGCAACUCCAGCUAAAGAAGCAUGAAGACUAGUCUACUGGGGAAAGAAGAAAUGGGUUUCCAUGGACCUAUCAAUGAUACUCAUCACAGAAUUUCCCCAGCCAGAAGAAAGCACUGCUUUAAUCCAUCAUGCAGAGAGGAUCUGACGUCUGUAAUGUCGCUGUUACCAAAAAUAUCUGUAAGCUUCUUCAAGAAGGAACAGAAUUCUGUUCAUUGUAGCCUAGCACAUGACUCUGUGGAGAUAGCCAGAAAUGUCUGUGAUGUGUAUAGAUGGAUAGAUGAAUGAAUGAAUGAAUGAUGUAGUCUUUCAGCAAACUGUAAUGAAAUACAUAAUUAUGAGAUGGAUGAGCUAAAGCGUUCUCUAUUCUUCAUUCUUAGAACUUAGUUGUUAUUUCUUUCGUUCAUAGAGCAGCAGUUUUCCCCUACUAGAAAUGAAGCAUCAUUGGUACUUUGGUUUAUAUUUAAAUAUAAGGGGCCUGAAGAGCUGGCCCAGUAGUCAAGAGAACACUGGCUGCUCAUCCAGACAGAACCAGUUCAACUUAAAGCACCCACAUUAUGGCCUAUAACUAUAUAUCUGGUUUCUGUGAGCAACAGUCACACAUGUGAUGUAGAGACAAACACACAAGCAGAACACUAAAGCAAAUAAUGUCAAAUGAGGAUAAUUUUGAAAAUUAUAUUUGAAGGUAAGAUUACAAAGAUAUAUAAAUGAAUACGUCAUCAAGAUUAACUUACCGUAAUAGGAUCUGUAUUUUUAGAGCAUACUCAUAGCUCAUAACUAUAUCUUCAUGGUCUACACUUUCAAAUCGUUUCUAUAACCUAGAUCACCUACAACAGACUUCCAUCAAAGACUCAUAACACAGUGUAAGUCUCAAGCAAAAGAUGCAUAUUAGUUUUAAGACCUCUCAUAAAUACAAAUAAUAGAUAAAUAAGUUAGCUGAAGAAGAGCAAGGCUUGUGUAUAUGACCAUGAGAAGACCCUUCAACUUUACAAGACCCUCUCCAAAAUCUAUAACCACAUGAUUCAGGCCUCUUACAACUUGGCAGAUAUCUCACACCACAGAUGGGACUCAUUGGCAGUCCAGUGUUUCUUCCAAAGACAGUGUUAGCCACCCAGCUUUGUAUGUUCAUCCCUGGUUAUUCACUUAUUAGAUGGCUCUAGACUAAGGCUGUGGGGGAGCCGUCAUAGCCAUGUCAUACCUGAAAAAUCUGUGAAUCAGUACAAGUCCAGAGAUGGUCCAUCCCUGGGUCCAAGUCUGGGUGCAUGGUUAAUGAGCUGAUGGUAGGGUU